RNAcentral lists this ribosomal RNA (265 nucleotides) under uncultured archaeon. RNAcentral's name for it is "partial 16S ribosomal RNA". It matches the Rfam family "Archaeal small subunit ribosomal RNA", at positions 717 to 982 of the family's 1478-position model. The record is from RNAcentral.
AGUCACUGACAUUAGAUACCCGUGUAGUCCCAGCCGUAAACUAUGCGCGUUAGGUGUAUCGGUGACCACGAGUUACCGAGGUGCCGAAGGGAAACCGUGAAACGUGCCGCCUGGGAAGUACGGUCGCAAGGCUGAAACUUAAAGGAAUUGGCGGGGGAGCACCGCAACGGGAGGAGCGUGCGGUUUAAUUGGAUUCAACACCGUAAAACUCACCAGGGAAGACUGUUACAUGAAGGCCGAGAUGAAGACUCUGCUAGAUUUUCAG